Molecule: ribosomal RNA, 191 nt
Filed under: uncultured bacterium
Lineage: Bacteria
Description: partial 16S ribosomal RNA
Rfam family: Bacterial small subunit ribosomal RNA
Source: RNAcentral
ACCCGGCUACAUGAAGCUGGAAUCGCUAGUAAUCGCAGAUCAGAAUGCUGCGGUGAAUACGUUCCCGGGUCUUGUACACACCGCCCGUCACACCAUGGGAGCCGGGAAUGCCCGAAGUCGGUGACCCAACCGUAAGGAGGGAGCCGCCGAAGGCAGGCCUGGUAACUGGGGUGAAGUCGUAACAAGGUACC